CACAGGCAGAGGCACGUGAGCCCCUGUGCUGCAGCAUGGCCCGGGCAGGGUGGGGGCAGUUUGCAGCCGGCCAAAGAGGAUUCCCAUCACCGCUCCCUUCUGCCCAGUGUCCUUGGAAGGCUGAUAGAGGUGAAGAAACUGCAGAAGAAAAGUCUGCAGCUGGAGAGGUUGGUUCGUGAGGCUUAAGGAAAGAAGCCAUCUUCAUAACAUAAAACUGCAAAGGAAAGAAAGAAGUGCUGAUGUAGAUGCUGCAGCAAGUCAUCCAGAAGUUCUAGCAGAAAUAAUUGAAGAAGGUUAUUACCCUAAAGAAGAGAUCCAACAGACUUGUACUAGAUGAAGAUGUGUCUAGGACUGUUAGCUGGAGAGAAGUCAAUGCGUGGCUUCAAAGCUUCAGAGGACAGACUGACUCAAUUAUUAGGAGCUUAAUGUAGCUAAUGGCUUUAAAUUGAAGGCAGUGAUUACUUAUCAUUCCAAAAAUCCUAAGGCCAUUAAGAAUUAUACUAAAUCUUCUCUGCCGAUGCUGUACAAGUGGAACACAAAACCUGGAUAACUGCAUAGUUUAUUGUUUGUUGCUCACUGCUGAGCCUAUUGCUCAGAGGAAAAGAUAUAUUUAUUUAAAAAUAUUUCUGUCAUUGACAAUGUACAUUUGGUAGAAGAGGUCAUUCUGAACAGUCCAGACUGUUGCCUGAUUCUAGAAUUACAAAUGAAGCCAAUUAAGAUCUGCAAAUCUAGAUUUGUUGUAAUUUUGUCUUUUUUUAAUAUUUAUUUUUUAGUUGGACACAAUAUCAUCUUUAUUUUAUUUAUUUACUUUUGUGUGGUGCUGAGGUUUGAACCCAGGGCCUCACACAUGCUAGGCGAGUGCUCUACCACUGAGCCACAACCUCGGCCCCAAGUUUUGUCUUUUAACACCAUGAAAACAAUAUCUCAUGGGAAAUCAGAAUAUCAAUAGUAAUGGGAGUUUGGAAGAAGUUGGUUCCAACCCUCAGGGUUGACAUGCAGUGGCUUUAGAUGUCAGUGGAGGAAGUAACUGCAGAUAUGGUAAAAACAUUAAGAGAACUAGAAAUAGAUGUAGAAUCUGGAGAUGUCACAGAAUUCCUGCAAUUUCAUGAUAAAUUUUAAUGGAUAAGGAGUUGCUUCUCAUGAAUGGGCAAAGAAAGUGAUUUCUUGAGACGGAACCUACUCCUGGUGAAGAUGCUGUGAAUACUAUCGAAAUGACAAGAAAGGAUGGAGAAUAUUACAAAAACUUAGCUGAUAAAGUAGGGACAGGGUUUAAGAUAAUUGGUUUCAAAUGCAAAAGAAUCUCUACUGUGCAUAAAAUACUAUGAAAUAGUAUUGUAUGCUACAGGAAAUCUUCCAUGACAGGAAGAGUUGACCAAUGCAGCAAACUUCAAAAAAAUAAAAAAUAAAUAAAAUAAAAAUAAAGAAUUGCUACAGUCACCCCAGCUUUAAGGAACCACCACCCUGAUGAGUCAACAACCAUCAACAUCAAAACAACCAGUAGAAAGAUUACCCCUGUCUAAAGGUUCAGGUGAUUGUUAGCAUUAUUUUAGCAAUAAAGUUUUUUGAAUUCAGUA
Molecule: non-coding RNA, 1574 nt
Organism: Ictidomys tridecemlineatus (thirteen-lined ground squirrel)
Lineage: Eukaryota; Metazoa; Chordata; Mammalia; Rodentia; Sciuridae
Source: RefSeq, a predicted model, not a curated record